CAUAUCAAUAAGCGGAGGAAAAGAAACCAACAGGGAUUGCCCCAGUAACGGCGAGUGAAGCGGCAACAGCUCAAAUUUGAAAUCUGGCCCCAGGCCCGAGUUGUAAUUUGCAGAGGAUGCUUUUGGCGCGGUGCCUUCCGAGUUCCCUGGAACGGGACGCCAUAGAGGGUGAGAGCCCCGUACGGUUGGACACCAAGCCUUUGUAAAGCUCCUUCGACGAGUCGAGUAGUUUGGGAAUGCUGCUCUAAAUGGGAGGUACAUUUCUUCUAAAGCUAAAUAUUGGCCAGAGACCGAUAGCGCACAAGUAGAGUGAUCGAAAGAUGAAAAGCACUUUGAAAAGAGGGUUAAACAGCACGUGAAAUUGUUAAAAGGGAAGCGCUUGUGACCAGACUUGCGUCCGGUGAAUCACCCAGCUCUCGCGGCUGGGGCACUUCGCCGGCACAGGCCAGCAUCAGCUUGCCGUCGGGGACAAAAGCUUCAGGAACGUGGCUCCUCUCGGGGAGUGUUAUAGCCUGUUGCACAAUACCCUUCGGCGGGCUGAGGUACGCGCUCCGCAAGGAUGCUGGCGUAAUGGUCAUCAGCGACCCGUCUUGAAACACGGACCAAGGAGUCAACCUUAUGUGCGAGUGUUUGGGUGUUAAACCCCUACGCGUAAUGAAAGUGAACGCAGGUGAGAGCUUCGGCGCAUCAUCGACCGAUCCUGAUGUUCUCGGAUGGAUUUGAGUAAGAGCAUAUAGGGUUGGACCCGAAAGAAGGUGAACUAUGCGUGUGUAGGGUGAAGCCAGAGGAAACUCUGGUGGAGGCUCGCAGCGGUUCUGACGUGCAAAUCGAUCGUCAAACAUGCGCAUGGGGGCGAAAGACUAAUCGAACCUU
RNAcentral lists this ribosomal RNA (873 nucleotides) under Colletotrichum salicis. Its description in RNAcentral is "LSU rRNA". It matches the Rfam family "Eukaryotic large subunit ribosomal RNA", at positions 39 to 943 of the family's 3401-position model. Lineage: Eukaryota; Fungi; Ascomycota; Sordariomycetes; Glomerellales; Glomerellaceae. The record is from RNAcentral.